RNAcentral lists this ribosomal RNA (490 nucleotides) under uncultured bacterium. RNAcentral's name for it is "partial 16S ribosomal RNA". It matches the Rfam family "Bacterial small subunit ribosomal RNA", at positions 30 to 507 of the family's 1533-position model. The record is from RNAcentral.
AUUGAACGCUGGCGGCAGGCCUAACACAUGCAAGUCGAACGGUAACAGGAAGAAGCUUGCUUCUUUGCUGACGAGUGGCGGACGGGUGAGUAAUGUCUGGGAAACUGCCUGAUGGAGGGGGAUAACUACUGGAAACGGUAGCUAAUACCGCAUAACGUCGCAAGACCAAAGAGGGGGACCUUCGGGCCUCUUGCCAUCGGAUGUGCCCAGAUGGGAUUAGCUAGUAGGUGGGGUAACGGCUCACCUAGGCGACGAUCCCUAGCUGGUCUGAGAGGAUGACCAGCCACACUGGAACUGAGACACGGUCCAGACUCCUACGGGAGGCAGCAGUGGGGAAUAUUGCACAAUGGGCGAAAGCCUGAUGCAGCAAUGCCGCGUGUAUGAAGAAGGCCUUCGGGUUGUAAAGUACUUUCAGCGGGGAGGAAGGGAGUAAAGUUAAUACCUUUGCUCAUUGACGUUACCCGAAGAAGAAGCACCGGCUAACUCCGUG